GAUCGCACAACAAUAAUGAAUGGAAACACGUCGUAGCCAAGUUGAGCAGCAACUCAAAGUAACUGUUGGUCGGCAUUUGAAAGUUAUCUAUCGCGAGGGGAAAUCUGUUUAAAGUAAUGGAUUGGCCAGGCAAAUUAGAAACUACUUUAUGGAAGAGAAAGCAGCUGUACUUUGAUUGUUACUUUUGAAAGUAAGUUAUUGAAGGGAAACUACAGUGGGACACACUGUAAACCUUAAACGCGUGAAUAAGUGCAAAUGGCAUUUUGGGACAGUGAUACGAGACUACUGCACGGUCAGCGAUUUAUCUCGGCUUGGGGAAGUGGAUUAUUUGGAUUAAUCCGUUAAUGAAAUUGUUGGAAUAUUUGGAAUAUUUUUUUUUUACUUGGAGUAUCAUCACUGGAAGAAAGCUGAAGGAUUCAAGUUGAGCAGAGCAUACAGCACAUCUGGAGGAAAAUGGGUAAUAUAGAAAGUGUGGAUGGCCAGUCGGAGAUGAAGCAUCACAUCAUGCCACUGAAGGUUCCCAUGCCUGACCCCACCGAGCUGGAGGAGAAAUUUGCCAUUGUUUUGAGUUCUAUGAACCUGCCUCCAGACAAAGCACGCCUCCUCAGACAGUAUGACAAUGAGAAAAAGUGGGACCUGAUCUGCGACCAGGAGAGAUUUCAGGUGAAGAAUCCACCUCACACCUACAUCCAGAAGCUACGAGGAUACUUAGACCCUGGAGUCACACGAAAGAAGUUUCGCAGGCGGGUGCAGGAAUCUACAAAAGUCUUGAGGGAGCUGGAGAUCUCACUAAGGACAAACCACAUUGGGUGGGUCAGGGAGUUCCUGAAUGAUGAGAACAGAGGUCUUGAUGUCCUGGUGGAGUACCUCUCCUUUGCUCAGUGUGCUGUCAUGUUGGAUUUUGAGGGGCUGGAGAAUGGGGAGGAUGGCUUCUUGGACAAGGCUAAAUCUUGGAGUAGGUCCAUAGAAGAUCUGCAUCACACCAGCACCCAACCGUUCUGCAACACACUGGUGCGCUCUGCCCGCCAGUCUGUCCUCCGCUAUGGCACGGUUCCCAACAGCAAAACCAUCAAGAACUCCCGCCUUGUGAGCCAAAAAGAUGAUGUGCAUGUGUGCAUCAUGUGCUUGAGAGCAAUCAUGAAUUAUCAGUAUGGCUUCAAUAUGGUCAUGUCUCACGCACACGCAGUCAAUGAAAUUGCUCUCAGCUUGAACAAUAAGAACUCACGGACGAAAGCCUUGGUCCUUGAGCUGCUGGCUGCCGUCUGUCUAGUCCGAGGAGGUCACGAGAUUAUCCUCUCAGCAUUUGACAACUUCAAAGAGGUGUGUAAGGAGAAGCAACGCUUUGAGAGACUGAUGGAUUACUUCCGCUGUGAAGAGGGAAACAUUGACUACAUGGUUGCUUGCAUGCAGUUCAUCAACAUUGUGGUCCACUCAGUCGAGGACAUGAACUUCAGAGUCCAUCUGCAGUAUGAAUUCACCAAGCUUGGACUGGAUGAUUACCUGGAGAAAUGUAAACAUACGGAGAGUGACAAGCUGUCGGUGCAGAUCCAGGCCUACCUGGAUAACGUGUUUGACGUGGGUGGUCUGCUGGAAGAUGCGGAGACAAAGAAUGCAGCUCUGGAGAAGGUAGAGGAACUGGAGGAGCACCUGUCCCAUGUGACGGAGAAGCUGCUGGAGCUUGAGAAUGAAACAAUGAUGAAAGUAGCUGAUCUGGAGAAGGUGCUCCUUCAGAAAGAUAAGGACCUGCAUGCAAUACGGGAGACAUACGAGUCGACCAACACCCAAGUCACCACCCUGAGGAGGGUGAUCAAGGAGAAGGAUGCCGCUUUCCAGAGGCACUUCAACAUCGAGAGGCGGCUCCUGGAGCUCGAGCAGCAAGGCACCAUCCGUUUGCAUAAGAAGGCUGAUGGAGACAUUGCCAUCGAGCCGCUGGGUGUCGGGGGUGGGGGAGGCGUUGGGAGUAGUGGCCUUGGGAUUCCACUGGGUGACAUGAAGCAGCUGUCUUUGGGUUCAACAGCUGGGUUAACUGAACCAGGGGGACCAGACACUAGUUUACCACCAGCCAGUGAAGCCCCUCCACCUCCUCCACCACCUCCACCGCCUCCUCCUCCUCUUCCCUCUGCCUCAGAUCACAAUGCACCAGUCCCACCACCUCCACCUCCUCUCGCUCCACCUCUGCCAGACGCUUCUCCAUCAGUUAUCCUGAGUGUGGGUCUCUCAGCUAUCAGAAUCAAGAAGCCAAUCAAGACCAAGUUCCGUCUGCCUGUGUUUAACUGGACAGCCUUGAAGCCCAAUCAGAUCAACGGCACAGUCUUCAACGAGAUUGAUGAUGAGCGUGUGCUCGAGGAGCUGGAUCUGGAGAGGUUUGAGGAGCUGUUUAAGACCAGAUCCCAGGGUCCAGUUGUGGAUCUUUCCUGCACAAAGAGCAAAGUAGCCCAGAAGACGGUAAACAAAGUCACUCUUUUGGACGCCAAUCGCUCCAAGAACUUAGCCAUCACACUGCGAAAGGCGAACAAGACUACAGAAGAGAUCUGCAAAGCAAUAGAGAAAUUUGACCUCAAGGCCUUACCCGUCGACUUUGUGGAGUGCCUGAUGCGUUUCUUGCCUACGGAGGGGGAGGUGAAGGUGAUGCGUCAGUAUGAGCGUGAGCGGCGUCCACUGGACCAGCUAGCUGAGGAAGAUCGCUUCAUGUUGUUUUUCAGCAAGAUUGAGAGGCUCACACAGAGAAUGAACAUCAUUACCUUUGUUGGGAACUUUUCUGACAACAUCAACAUGCUUACACCACAGCUCAAUGCAGUCAUUGCUGCUUCUGGCUCAGUGAAAUCCGCACCAAAGUUGAAAAGAGUGCUCGAGAUCAUCCUAGCUUUGGGAAACUACAUGAAUAGCAGCAAGCGAGGCUGCGUUUAUGGCUUCAAAUUACAAAGUCUUGAUCUUCUGCUGGACACUAAGUCUACAGACAGGAAGAUGACGUUGCUCCAUUACAUAGCUCUCAUUUUGAAAGAGAAGUACCCUGAACUGGCCAACUUCUACAAUGAACUGCACUUUGUGGAAAAAGCUGCAGCAGUAUCUCUGGAAAAUGUGCUGCUGGAUGUUCGAGAGCUAGGGAAAGGCAUGGACUUGAUACGGAGAGAGUGCAGUCUCCAUGACCAUUCGGUCCUGAAAGGCUUCGUCCAGACCAGUGACACACAGCUGGACAAGCUGCAGAAGGACGCCAAGACAGCAGAGGAAGCCUUUAACAAUGUGGUGAACUACUUCGGAGAGAGUGCCAAGACGACUCCGCCCUCGGUGUUCUUCCCCGUGUUUGUGCGCUUUAUCAAGGCCUACAAGGAUGCAAUGGAAGAAAACGAACAAAGGAAAAAGCAGGAGGAAGCAAUGAGAGAAAAGUUACUGGCUCAGGAGGCUAAACAGCAUGACCCCAAGGUCCAGGCCCAAAAGAAGAGGCAGCAGCAGGAGGAGCUGAUCGCAGAGCUACGCAAGCGGCAAGCCAAAGACCACCGGCCCAUGUACGAGGGCAAGGAUGGCACUAUUGAGGACAUCAUCACAGUACUGAAGAGCGUGCCCUUCACAGCCCGCACUGCUAAACGUGGCUCACGGUUCUUCUGUGAAGCCAACAUCUGUGACGACGCCAACUGCUAGCCCUCCCCCCCCCCUAAUGCCAAGGUUGUCCAGGUGUCUCUCGUACGCCUCCUGACCCCACUGUGCAUGCAGCAUGAUCCCCAUCUCCCACUCAACCCCAACCUCACCACUACAACUACUGUGAACUAACUUGGGCUGUUAUUUGGUUGUUUGUGUUCUACUUCAGAGGACUUCUAUCAGGCGUCUGGUGAUUGGAGUCAGCCAAACCUCUUUGUCUGAUGCAGAUCUCCAUGGGAAAAAAAGUUGUACAGCGUGUCAACAUAUUUUUGUGUGUUUGGAAAUAUGUUGAUAUACUCAGAGUACAAUCAGCCAUGACUGUGAUUACAUUUUUAAGUGAGCUGCAUGUCACAAGGCUGUGCAUUAUUAUGGCAUAUUUCUUUCAUGAAGCUGAAUUCAACAGUCAUACAGAAAAGAGGUUUGGCUAGUUGACUGGUUUUAUCAACGAUGCCUUGUUCCAUGAAACUAACUUGUUUGGUGUUGGUUUCCGGCUAACAUGUGCCUCUUCUUUCCUCAACCACCACUGUUCAUUCUACCCCCUCCAGCUGAAAAGAAGAUUAAUGACAGUAUUUCCCACUCCUAAGAGAGGAUCUCCGAAACCAGCCUUUCCUGCGAGCUGACGCGUUGAUCCGGAGCGGUUGGAAGAGACCCUAAACCACUUAUUGGUCACUUAUACUCCUCUCCCCACUA
Molecule: RNA transcript, 4323 nt
Organism: Perca fluviatilis (European perch)
Lineage: Eukaryota; Metazoa; Chordata; Actinopteri; Perciformes; Percidae
Gene: fmnl3
Gene name: formin-like 3
Exons: 26
Source: RefSeq, a predicted model, not a curated record